AAGUAUGAUGAAAGAUAUGAAGCGAGUGAGAAGCAUGUUCAGUAUCAGGAAUAUGAGAAGCACUUCUGAGUCAUUGGCCAAUGGGCUAAGGCUCACACUCUGGAAGGAAAGCUCAACAUCAAUCUGAUGAACAGUCAGCUCUUUCAGGAGCAAGCCGUUGAAGGCAUUUUCUAACAGUUCACUGGUCUUGGGAACCUCAGAGAGAUCAACCAGACAACACACAAACAGCUACAACUUAUAUAUGGCAAACAAAGCAUGGUGGAUGGUUAUUGGCACUAAUUAUUCCCAAACCUUGCUUGAUCUAAUAGGAGAGAAACACAGAGCAACUUUAAAGAAUGAAGAAGCACCAUCUGCACCAUGCAGAUAGAAUUUGAUUUUCAAACAUCCAUCAUUUAACACUUCUAAGGUUGGGGUCUUGGGAUUACAGGCCUUUGGAAGAAGUAUGUUUUAAGAAAUGACUUAGAGGUGAGUAUAGAAUCACGGCAGAGGAAAUGG
Molecule: long non-coding RNA, 495 nt
Organism: Mauremys reevesii (Reeves's turtle)
Lineage: Eukaryota; Metazoa; Chordata; Testudines; Geoemydidae
Exons: 4
Source: RefSeq, a predicted model, not a curated record